AACGAACGCUGGCGGCAUGCCUAACACAUGCAAGUCGAACGGGAUCCUAGCUUGCUAGGUGAGAGUGGCGGACGGGUGAGUAACACGUGGGAAUCUGCCUUUUGGUUCGGGAUAACCGCGGGAAACUGCGGCUAAUACCGAAUGCCCUCGAGAGAGGAAAGAUUUAUCGCCAGAAGAGGAGCCCGCGUCCGAUUAGGUAGUUGGUGGGGUAAAGGCCUACCAAGCCGACGAUCGGUAGCUGGUCUGAGAGGAUGAUCAGCCACACUGGGACUGAGAUACGGCCCAGACUCCUACGGGAGGCAGCAGUGGGAAUAUUGGACAAUGGGGGCAACCCUGAUCCAGCAAUGCCGCGUGAGUGAUGAAGGCCUUAGGGUUGUAAAGCUCUUUUGCCAGGGAAGAUGAUGACUGUACCUGGAGAAUAAGCCCCGGCUAACUUCGUGCCAGCAGCCACGGUAAU
Molecule: ribosomal RNA, 457 nt
Filed under: uncultured bacterium
Lineage: Bacteria
Description: bacterial SSU rRNA
Rfam family: Bacterial small subunit ribosomal RNA
Source: RNAcentral